Molecule: ribosomal RNA, 245 nt
Filed under: uncultured bacterium
Lineage: Bacteria
Description: partial 16S ribosomal RNA
Rfam family: Bacterial small subunit ribosomal RNA
Source: RNAcentral
UACGAAGGGGGCUAGCGUUGCUCGGAAUUACUGGGCGUAAAGCGCACGUAGGCGGAUCGUUAAGUCGGGGGUGAAAUCCUGGAGCUCAACUCCAGAACUGCCUUCGAUACUGGCGAUCUCGAGUCCGGAAGAGGUGAGUGGAACUCCUAGUGUAGAGGUGGAAUUCGUAGAUAUUAGGAAGAACACCAGUGGCGAAGGCGGCUCACUGAUCCGGUACUGACGCUGAGGUGCGAAAGCGUGGGGAG